UCUAAUAUGGCAGAUUAGUGCAAUGAAUUUAAGCUUCAUAUAUAAAGACUGGGGCUUUUGUUAGAA
RNAcentral lists this transfer RNA (66 nucleotides) under Scarodytes savinensis. RNAcentral describes it as "tRNA-Leu". The record is from RNAcentral. Lineage: Eukaryota; Metazoa; Arthropoda; Insecta; Coleoptera; Dytiscidae.